Misgurnus anguillicaudatus (oriental weatherfish) is the source of this 478-nucleotide non-coding RNA. Lineage: Eukaryota; Metazoa; Chordata; Actinopteri; Cypriniformes; Cobitidae. The record is from RefSeq and is a predicted model, not a curated record.
UAUUUCAAAGUUUUCGUAUGUGAGGUAAUCUUGCUUAUGCUGGCAGUGAAGGCAGUGCGUAUGACCACUUGAUAUGAGAGACACUUCCUGUUUUUAAAGGUAAACUUUAUACUGUAAGCUCCAUUCCCUUUAUAACAGAGUUUUCGUGAGGUAAUCUUUCUUAUGCUGGGAGUGAAGGCAGUGCGUAUGAUCACUUGAUAUGAGAGACACAUCCUGUUUUUAAAGGUGGAUCAUGAGUGAAGCUCUGAAGGUCGGCCAUUGACUUGAUAACAGUGGUUUAUGUUUAUUCAAUUUAUGAAUAAAUCUCUCGCCAACCAUUCACCUAUUUACUGACAAAACAGAUCCAAAUCUUGUUCAGCCUGAUGCUCAACCUUCUAUGAUGAUGACCACUGCAAGGUGAUGGGAAUCUGUGGUUCUCACAGCCUGUGUCUCAAGAUCAACAUGACAACGGCAGUCAUCUCUUAUCUUACUCUUAUCU